CAGAUCUUCACUGAAGUCUACAAUGCCCCGGAUUACUUCUGUAUAAGUAAAUUUCUUAUGAAAGUUAGUAAAAAGGACUUGGUUGGAUAAACAAUUCAUGUGACACAUUUUCAUUCUCCAGAACUUUGUAGGAUUUAACUUCAAAUAUUGCUGCGAAGAAGUUUCAGGGGAUCCCGAUUUUGUCUUCUGCGGCCUUUUAGAAAAUCUCACGUCACUUCCUGGUUGGAGCAAUUAAGCAAUAGAGAAGAUAGGUGUUCUGGAACAGAAUUUAAUGAAACAGAACUCCACCAUCUAUGGCAAGUUCGACUGCUUGAGUCUCCAGAGGAUAAGAGUUGGAGGCCACUGAAGCCCAAAUUCAUUAGUCAGGCCAUUGAAGGUCACAAGUGAACAAAGGAGGAUGGCAAAGACAGAACUGUGAUACUCAAACACUCAAUAGCUCACAGCGUGGGGGUUCAUUAUGACACUUACUAAGCACAUGCCAUAUUUCUGACACUGUGCUAAGAGUUUCAUGAAUAUUAACUAAAUUAACCUCAUAAAAAUGCCAUUAGAAAGAUGCAAUUUUGUAACCCCUUACACAGAUGAAGAAAAUAAAAUAUGGAGACUUUAAGAAAUUUUCCAGAAGUCUUAUAACUGGUGAGUAAAUUUUAGCUACUUGAUCAGACCUCAACCAGGUGAUCAAAACCCAGAAUUAAUACGGCUCAACCAAUACUA
Molecule: long non-coding RNA, 711 nt
Filed under: Papio anubis (olive baboon)
Lineage: Eukaryota; Metazoa; Chordata; Mammalia; Primates; Cercopithecidae
Description: lncRNA (ENSPANG00000046680.1)
Source: RNAcentral